GUUCCGGUUCAUCAUCAACUUCUCCACUAGUUACGUUAGAUACUGCUCCUACCUAUCUUUAACUGUUCUUCUACAAGAGGACUUUAGAUUCGUAGUUGAAAGCCAAUGUAGAUCAGCACAAGAAGCCAAAGUUGCCAUUAUCGAAGUUGAGAGCAUAACUGAAGGGAUCAUAGUGGAAGCUGAACCUUUGCUUGGACCGAUUCUUCACUUGUCUCCUUAUCUCUGCCCUAACCCUCCAAAACAAGCUUCUAAACUUCCUCUUUCCGCACAGGAGCACCGCAUUUGGAUCAAAGCAAAACCUCGUGAAACCCAUAUUCUUGAAUCCUCUGAAACCCCAGAAAAGAAAGCUAAGUAACAAGAGUUAUGGGUGAUGGGAGUUAAUAUAGAAUGAAAGUGGGGGUAGGGUUUGGGGUGGACAGAUAUAGAGAGGCCAACCACGGCCAGCUUUAACGCUGGAGAAAGCUGAAAUGGCAG
This 474-nucleotide unclassified non-coding RNA is filed under the name Hevea brasiliensis (rubber tree). The record is from RNAcentral. Lineage: Eukaryota; Viridiplantae; Streptophyta; Magnoliopsida; Malpighiales; Euphorbiaceae.